AAAAAUACAUUGAAAGAGGAAAGUAAUAUAUAUGGAAUUUUUAGAGAGAAAAUCCCGUCGGCUGUAAGGAUUUUUAAAGGAAGUAUAUGUGAAGUGCCCUCUGGAGUAUUGCACCGAAAUCAGUAGGCUGCAACGGUUUUACCCGUUAUAGUAAUAAAGCAUUAUAGUGCUUGAACUUUAUUCUAAGCCUAAUUUAUAGGUAGAGUGGAAUACGAAAGAUACAACUUCGUCUCUAUU
This is a regulatory RNA element of Clostridium tetani E88, 237 nucleotides long. It matches the Rfam family "T-box leader". From Rfam's summary of the family: Uncharged tRNA acts as the effector for transcription antitermination of genes in the T-box leader family. T-boxes are found upstream of many aminoacyl-tRNA synthetase genes and some amino acid biosynthetic genes usually in Gram-positive bacteria. Lineage: Bacteria; Bacillati; Bacillota; Clostridia; Eubacteriales; Clostridiaceae. The record is from Rfam.